UCAAAGAAAAAGGAAAAGGAGAAAUAAAUCUUCUCUCCACCCCCUUCUAAAGUAACAUGGGUCACACACCCCUUUUUUCAUCGCCUGUGGAAGGGAAGGUGGAACUGAAGGAACUCUGGCCAACCUCCUCACAGCUCCCUGGUGACAGCCAGCAUCCCACAAUGCUCUUGGAAAGCAUGUUCACGCCCAUCUGCGGGCCUGGAGGAUCCAGGCUUCAGACUUGAAAGCAUUCCAGGACGUGAGCUCAGAAUUCAUUCCUGGUGACUGGGGAGAUCUUCAGAGAUGUUCAUGUUGGGGCAUGGGCAAGAGGGAGCUGGUGAGGCGAAACGCUCAGCUCUGCAGGCCAGCUCCCAGCUGGAGGUGGGUCAGCACCAUGGACAGGGCCGGGCUGGUAGAGGGAGGCGGGCCUAGAGCAGCUGGCUAAGAGCUCACUAAGCCCACCCAGCACACAGGGCUGGCUGCCUUCGGCAUCUCUGGAGAG
This is a long non-coding RNA of Ochotona princeps (American pika), 481 nucleotides long. RefSeq lists it as uncharacterized. The record is from RefSeq and is a predicted model, not a curated record. The transcript has 3 exons. NCBI's taxonomy places the organism in Eukaryota, Metazoa, Chordata, Mammalia, Lagomorpha, Ochotonidae.